UGCCGGAGGCCAUUGCUAUCGGAGUCCGAUUUAGCCAUGCUAGUUGCACGGGUUUAGACUCGUAGCAUAUAGCUCAGUAACACGUGGCCAAACUACCCUACAGACCGCGAUAACCUCGGGAAACUGAGGCCAAUAGCGGAUAUCACUCUCAGACUGGAGUGYCGAGAGUGAGAAACGUUCCGGCGCUGUAGGAUGUGGCUGCGGCCGAUUAGGUAGAUGGUGGGGUAACGGCCCACCAUGCCGAUAAUCGGUACRGGUUGUGAGAGCAAGAGCCCGGAGACGGUAUCUGAGACAAGAUACCGGGCCCUACGGGGCGCAGCAGGCGCGAAACCUUUACACUGCACGACAGUGCGAUAGGGGGACUCCGAGUGUGAGGGCAUAUAGCCCUCGCUUUUCUGAACCGUAAGGUGGUUCAGGAACAAGGACUGGGCAAGACCGGUGCCAGCCGCCGCGGUAAUACCGGCAGUCCAAGUGAUGGCCGAUAUUAUUGGGCCUAAAGCGUCCGUA
RNAcentral lists this ribosomal RNA (507 nucleotides) under Haloarcula sp. E301-5. RNAcentral describes it as "bacterial SSU rRNA". It matches the Rfam family "Archaeal small subunit ribosomal RNA", at positions 15 to 523 of the family's 1478-position model. The record is from RNAcentral. Lineage: Archaea; Methanobacteriati; Methanobacteriota; Halobacteria; Halobacteriales; Haloarculaceae.